Molecule: non-coding RNA, 80 nt
Organism: Podarcis lilfordi (Lilford's wall lizard)
Lineage: Eukaryota; Metazoa; Chordata; Lepidosauria; Squamata; Lacertidae
Source: the annotation of a GenBank genome assembly
GAAUGCCUGGCUGUAGCUGCGUGGCAGAGCACCUGCUUGGCAUGCAGAAGGUGUGGGUUCAACCCCCAAGGGCAUCUCCA